This 399-nucleotide ribosomal RNA is filed under the name uncultured Lactobacillus sp. RNAcentral describes it as "bacterial SSU rRNA". It matches the Rfam family "Bacterial small subunit ribosomal RNA", at positions 64 to 446 of the family's 1533-position model. The record is from RNAcentral. Lineage: Bacteria; Bacillati; Bacillota; Bacilli; Lactobacillales; Lactobacillaceae.
AAACUAACAGAUUUACUUCGGUAAUGACGUUAGGAAAGCGAGCGGCGGAUGGGUGAGUAACACGUGGGGAACCUGCCCCAUAGUCUGGGAUACCACUUGGAAACAGGUGCUAAUACCGGAUAAGAAAGCAGAUCGCAUGAUCAGCUUUUAAAAGGCGGCGUAAGCUGUCGUUAUGGGAUGGCCCCGCGGUGCAUUAGCUAGUUGGUAAGGUAAAGGCUUACCAAGGCGAUGAUGCAUAGCCGAGUUGAGAGACUGAUCGGCCACAUUGGGACUGAGACACGGCCCAAACUCCUACGGGAGGCAGCAGUAGGGAAUCUUCCACAAUGGACGCAAGUCUGAUGGAGCAACGCCGCGUGAGUGAAGAAGGUUUUCGGAUCGUAAAGCUCUGUUGUUGGUGAA